UUUUCUGAGCCCGGCGGUAGUUUUGCAAGGCUUCCGCGCCGUGAACGGGAAAAAAACACUCAUGGCAAUUCACGUAUCUUCUCUGUGGUGUUUAUAAAUAGCAUUAACAGGAGUCCGAGGCGUUAGACAAGACGAGGAGUAGUCUGUCAUGGUUUCUGUAUAUCAGUCACAAUACCAAGACACUUUGCCAUAUCACAUCAGCUAUUUCUAAAGGUCAAAGAGGGGGUCAAUCGGGUUCUAACAAGUGUUUCUUUAGGUUCACGGUACAGAGGAAGGGUCACACUACCACCAGGGUCAUAAAACUACCCCUGGAAAUGCCCACAACUCCUACGAAAGCCUUGUCAAAUAUGUGUUUCUUUAGGUUCACAGUACAGAGGAAGGGUCACACUACCACCAGGGUCAUAAAACUACCCCUGGAAAUGCCCACAACUCCUACGAAAGCCUUGUCAAAUAUGUGUUUCUUUAGGUUCACAUUACAGAGGAAGGGUCACACUACCACCAGGGUCAUAAAACUACCCCUGGAAAUGCCCACAACUCCUACGAAAGCCUUGUCAAAUAUGUGUUUCUUUAGGUUCACGGUACAGAGGAAGGGUCAGACUACCACCAGGGUCAUAAAACUACUCCUGGAAAUGCCCACAACUCCUACGAAAGCCUUGUCAAAUAUGUGUUUCUUUAGGUUCACGGUACAGAGGAAGGGUCACACUACCACCAGGGUCAUAAAACUACCCCUGGAAAUGCCUACAACUCCUACGAAAGCCUUGUCAAAUAUGUGUUUCUUUAGGUUCACGGUACAGAGGAAGGGUCACACUACCACCAGGGUCAUAAAACUACCCCUGGAAAUGCCCACAACUCCUACGAAAGCCUUGUCAAAUGUGUGUUUCUUUAGGUUCAUGGUACAGAGGAAGGGUCACACUACCACCAGGGUCAUAAAACUACCCCUGGAAAUGCCCGCAACUCCCACGAAAGCCUUGUCAAAUAUGUGUUUCUUAGGUUCACGGUA
Long non-coding RNA from Eriocheir sinensis (Chinese mitten crab), 1000 nucleotides. RefSeq lists it as uncharacterized. The transcript is spliced from 3 exons. The record is from RefSeq and is a predicted model, not a curated record. Lineage: Eukaryota; Metazoa; Arthropoda; Malacostraca; Decapoda; Varunidae.